GUGUUUGCUUCCGAAGCACAUGUACCAAAAUGCAAACAAUAGAGAAGAUUAGCAUGCCACUGCACAAGGAUGACACACAACAUGUAUGAAGCAUUCAUAUUUUUU
RNAcentral lists this small nuclear RNA (105 nucleotides) under Sciurus vulgaris (Eurasian red squirrel). Lineage: Eukaryota; Metazoa; Chordata; Mammalia; Rodentia; Sciuridae. The record is from RNAcentral.